UGACCUGCGGAAGGAUCAUUA
This 21-nucleotide non-coding RNA is filed under the name Cenococcum geophilum. RNAcentral also lists the same sequence under 34 other names. Lineage: Eukaryota; Fungi; Ascomycota; Dothideomycetes; Gloniales; Gloniaceae. The record is from RNAcentral.